Molecule: long non-coding RNA, 173 nt
Organism: Mytilus californianus (California mussel)
Lineage: Eukaryota; Metazoa; Mollusca; Bivalvia; Mytilida; Mytilidae
Exons: 2
Source: RefSeq, a predicted model, not a curated record
ACCAGGGUUUAUUAAAGGUAAUUCUGUGACCAGCUACAAUGUACCAGGGUUGAUUAAAGAAAAGCAGAGUGAUGAUUGGAAGAGUCAAGACAGAACUUUAUAGAGAAUGAAUGGAACAUUUGAUUUUAAUGUUGACUUUGAUAGAUUGUAUAAAUAAAACAAAAAUUUUGUGA